This 1818-nucleotide ribosomal RNA is filed under the name Rhipicephalus microplus (southern cattle tick). Its description in RNAcentral is "SSU rRNA". It matches the Rfam family "Eukaryotic small subunit ribosomal RNA". The record is from RNAcentral. Lineage: Eukaryota; Metazoa; Arthropoda; Arachnida; Ixodida; Ixodidae.
CCUGGUUGAUCCUGCCAGUAAUCAUAUGCUUGUCUCAAAGAUUAAGCCAUGCAUGUCUAAAGUACAUGCCGAAAUAAGGCGAAACCGCGAAUGGCUCAUUAAAUCAGUUAUGGUUCCUUAGAUCGUUUCUUCCUACUUGGAUAACUGUGGCAAUUCUAGAGCUAAUACAUGCAGUGAGCCUGGAGCCCUUUGGGUAACGGGUGCUUUUAUUAGACCAAGAUCGAUCGGGUUUCGGCCCGUAUUGUGUGGUGACUCUGGAUAACUUUGUGCUGAUCGCAUGGCCACGAGCCGGCGACGUUUCUUUCAAGUGUCUGCCUUAUCAACUUUCGAUGGUAGGUUACUUGCUUACCAUGGUUGUUACGGGUAACGGAGAAUCAGGGUUCGAUUCCGGAGAGGGAGCCUGAGAAACGGCUACCACAUCCAAGGAAGGCAGCAGGCGCGCAAAUUACCCACUCCCGGCACGGGGAGGUAGUGACGAAAAAUAACAAUACGGGACCUUUUGAGGCCCCGUAAUUGAAAUGAGUACACUCUAAAUCCUUUAACGAGGAUCAAUUGGAGGGCAAGUCUGGUGCCAGCAGCCGCGGUAAUUCCAGCUCCAAUAGCGUAUACUAAAGCUGCUGCGGUUAAAAAGCUCGUAGUUGGAUCUCAGUUCCAGACGAGUAGUGCAUCUACCCGAUGCGACGGCUCGGACUGAACAUCAUGCCGGUUCUUUCUUGGCGCACUUCAUUGUGUGCCUCGAGAUGGCCGGUGCUUUUACUUUGAAAAAAUUAGAGUGCUCAACGCAGGCGAGUCGCCUGAAUAAACUUGCAUGGAAUAAUAGAACAAGACCUCGUUUCUGUUCUGUUGGUUUUUGGAAUACGAGGUAAUGAUUAAGAGGGACGGACGGGGGCAUUCGUAUUGCGGCGCUAGAGGUGAAAUUCUUGGACCGUCGCAAGACGAACUACUGCGAAAGCAUUUGCCAAGAAUGUUUUCAUUGAUCAAGAACGAAAGUCAGAGGUUCGAAGGCGAUCAGAUACCGCCCUAGUUCUGACCAUAAACGAUGCCAACCAGCGAUCCGCCUGAGUUACUCAAAUGACUCGGCGGGCAGCUUCCGGGAAACCAAAGUAUUUGGGUUCCAACCGCGGGAAGUAUGGUUGCAAAGAUGAACUUAAAAUGAAUUGACGGUGAAGGGCACCACAGGAGUGGAGCCUUGCGUCUUAAUUUGACUCAGACAUUCACGGGAAAACUUACCCGGCCCGGACACUGGGAGGAUUGACAGAUUGAGAGCUCUUUCUUGAUUCGGUGGAUGGUGGUGCAUGGCCGUUCUUAGUUGGUGGAGCGAUUUGUCUGGUUAAUUCCGAUAACGAACGAGACUCUAGCCUAUUAAAUAGGUGCGGGGUUCCCAGCACCUUACAACCUUCUUAGAGGGACAAGCGGCUCCUAGCCGCACGAAACAGAGCAAUAACAGGUCUGUGAUGCCCUUAGAUGUCCGGGGCCGCACGCGCGCUACACUGAAGGAAGCAGCGUGUCUUUAUCCCUGUCUGAAAAGACUGGGUAACCCGUGGAUACUGUUCUUUCGUGAUUGGGAUAGGGGCUUGCAAUUGUUCCCCUUAACGAGGAAUUCCCAGUAAGCGCGAGUCAUAAGCUCGCGUUGAUUACGUCCCGGCCCUUUGUACACACCGCCCGUCGCUACUACCGAUUGAAUGAUUUAGUGAGGUCUUCGGACCGAUGUCCGGCGCGGCCUUUCGGUUGCGCCGGUCUGUUGGAAAGAUGACCAAACUUGAUCAUUUAGAGGAAGUAAAAGUCGUAACAAGGUUUCCGUAGGUGAACCUGCGGAAG